GUAUGUUGUGCUUUAUCUAUUCAAAGCACUCUACCAGUCUUGAGUCAUUAAUCCUUAAAACACUUCUCUGUGAGAUAAGAAUUUUGCAGAUUGGGAAACCAAGGCAGAGACAUCAAGUGACUUGUCCAAGAUUACGCAGCAAGUAAGUACAACACUGAUCAAUAGUUCUGAAGCAAGUCCCAUCCAGCCCUCAUCUUGGAGAAUACGGUUCUGUUGCUAGGUAUUGGGGGUUUGUUUCAAACAUCAAGUUCCAUCAGGAGGCUGAAGACACACACCCCAGAAAAAAUACCAAUUGCAAUGAAUCUCUCUCUCUUUUGUCUCCAUCUCUUCAUGUAAUUGUGAUCUGGAUGGGAGAACAAUUAGUUCACACAGGACUUCAUCCUAUGUUCAUUGAAAGGAGCAGCCAAGCUCCCAUUGACUUUGACAGUACAGGAUCACGGGCCAUAAUUUAAGGACAAGGCACAAUAUUUCAUACAUGAGUUAGAACGAUAAUCUUGCACUUACAUAGUAUCUUUCAUUGACAACAAGUACACAGUUUUGCAUCUCAUUUGAAAUAUGGCAUCUCCAACAUUACAACAUCUCCCCUCCUAACGUCCAGCUGAUGCAUGUUUCCAAUACUGACUCACAGGGACGAAUAACACAUACUGAAUCACCACCAACUCCUGAGCCCUUUUUAUAUAGCAUAAAGAAACAAAAGAGGGCACAAGCCCAAUUUCUUCCCUUUGCAGGUCACCUUUAAAAGUUCCUUUGUAUCCCCUACUGCCCACCAUGCACUCAUUUUAAGUCCAACUCCUCUUUACCGGUGUCCAAAAAUACUUAUUAGCUUCGGCCCUGAUUAAUAUGAGACAUUUACCAUGACCACAGUUUGGGGGCGUUGGAAUUCAUUGGAAGAUGGGUGCAUUGCACACUGCCCAAGGAUUAGAAAAUAUCAAUGGUUCUCCUCUGAAUACAUAACUGAGUGGCUCUCCUUAUGAGUGACAACAUGAUGGGGAGAAAGAUAUGUCUGUCAUCCAGUGAGGACAGCACACAGUCCUGAAGGCAGAACAAUGUCUCCAUUAUUUUAACGCAGGCCCUGUUUCCAGCUGAAAAAAAUCUAAAUGACAAGAACACUGAGGGUUCCUUUAUUUUUGCUGUUUGUUUCCCUGGUAACACAGACAUGCUUCCCUGGUGGAUAGCCAUCCAUUCCCCUUUGUUUUAAGAUGUGGACAGGUCAAGGAUGCACUCAGUUUUUCCCUUCAAUGGGUCAAAAUGGCACCUGUUAUCCCUUGAGGAUAUACACAUACACACGGACUCUUCUACUGCUGCCAACCUCUACCUUAUAAGAGGCUGAAGAUUUUUACCAAUGCCUGUUUCCUUUCUUAAAGGAAAAGGUGCCUCCAAAGGCUGCUGAAACCCCAGAGCAGGGGGUCAGAAGACACGGGCAUAGGACCAAUAUUCCAGUAUCACUUGCCUCCCAUGCAUUAUGGGACUGGGAGGGACCGGCUAACAAAAGCAAGAACUCAAGGGACAGUGGCAUUCGCAUUGAGGGGGUGGAACAGAUGGCCAAGGCUUAGUGUACUGCGAGGGUUCUUUCCUUCCAGAGCUCCAGCAAUCUUUUCCAGUAGAAAGCCUACUGAAAAAUUCUGACAAGACGAAGCUGUAUUUGCCAGCCUGAAAUGGAAAAACAUGAUCUUGGAAGUUAGUCAU
This is a long non-coding RNA of Chelonia mydas (Green sea turtle), 1686 nucleotides long. RefSeq lists it as uncharacterized. The record is from RefSeq and is a predicted model, not a curated record. NCBI's taxonomy places the organism in Eukaryota, Metazoa, Chordata, Testudines, Cheloniidae. The transcript is spliced from 4 exons.